CCGCCGACGGCAGAAGCGACGCCCCCGACCCCUCCCUCUGGUGUUCAGGAUCCAACAUCCCCCCUCCAGCGACGGCGACGGACCGCGGCCGUCAUUGUCCUCCUUCCCCGGAUCUCCCCUCCACCUCGAAGCUCCGACCCCCUUCGGCGACCACGACGGCGACGGUUUUGUGGUUGUUUUCUACCUCCUCUGGUCAAGGAAGUGAGCACCGCCUCGUUCUCUCAGAUCAUUCCCACCAUUGUUAAUCACCGGUUUCCUAAAGCUAACCAAUGAAAAUGUCCAAAGAAGUUGAUGGUGGAAGUUUCAGUAGAGUGAUUAUUCCAAUGACAACACAUUUCCCCAUGGAUCAGUCACAUAUGCACAUCUUUUUAAUGGAACUAUAUGUGUUGUUCCCCUCCUUGGAGGCGUCGGUAUGGACUGAUCCCCUCACUUCCCCUGCCCCUAGGUCUCCCGGGCGAAAGCCCUAACUUUGUUGGGCGGCGGCGGUGCUCUUGGCGCCGUUCUCUUCUUGAAGGCGCCGCUUUGUGAGGCUUGUGGUCGGGUGGCGCUUGUACGUGGUGGGUGGCGGUGGCGGUGUGGCCCUCUUGUCCUAACGUGAAACUUCCCCCUCCGGUGUUGGAUGUGUGCAGCGGCGAUGUUCUGCUCAAGGAGAGCCUCCGGCGUCUCGUUGGGGAUGCGCUGACCCUCUCUAUGUGGCCAUCUUCCCGCAGCAUCCAUCUCAUCUUGCGACGGUGCGGCACCUUCAAUCCAGGCAAGGAGGUAGUGGCCUUCUUCGAAGAUAAUGGACGGGAGUGCCGUGCCGGGGCCCGUAGGUGCAUGGCGACAACAUAUGCCCCGCUGGUGUCGCCCCCUCUCUCCUCCGAACCAGUGUGAUAUUGUUCCUGGUGCAGCAUUCUUGGAGGAGGUCCUCGUUGUCUUCGGUUUCGUUCUCUUUUGAUUAUCUCCAGUUUCCGUAGCGUGUGAGGAGUAGUUUGGUGUUGUCCAUCGUUUAUGUAUCUUACCACCGUGUUGUUCUUUCUUUUGCAUGAGGGCGUUUGUUUGUAAUCUGGCCAGUUGAUGGCUUUGUUAAUUCAAAAUCGGGCUAGGCUCGAGCCCCAUCUUGGGCUCGGCUGAUGCC
Aegilops tauschii subsp. strangulata is the source of this 1117-nucleotide long non-coding RNA. RefSeq lists it as uncharacterized. NCBI's taxonomy places the organism in Eukaryota, Viridiplantae, Streptophyta, Magnoliopsida, Poales, Poaceae. The record is from RefSeq and is a predicted model, not a curated record.